UACGAAGGGUGCAAGCGUUAUUCGGAAUGACUGGGUGUAAAGGGCGUGUAGGUGGUUUGCUAAGUCAAUUGUUAAAGAGCUCGGCUUAACCGGGCAAAGGCAAGUGAAACUGGUGAACUAGAGUGCGGAAGAGAAGAGUGGAAUUCUCGGAGUAGCGGUAAAAUGCGUAGAUCUCGAGAGGAACACCGGUUGCGAAGGCGGCUCUUUGGUCCGCUACUGACACUAAAGCGCGAAAGCGUGGGGAGCAAACAGG
Molecule: ribosomal RNA, 253 nt
Filed under: uncultured bacterium
Lineage: Bacteria
Description: partial 16S ribosomal RNA
Rfam family: Bacterial small subunit ribosomal RNA
Source: RNAcentral